CGCGUAGGCGGUCCGACAAGUCAGGGGUGAAAUCCUGCAGCUUAACUGCAGAAGUGCCUUUGAUACUGUCGGUCUCGAGGGAGAUAGGGGUGUGCGGAACUUCCAGUGGAGCGGUGAAAUGCGUUGAUAUUGGAAGGAACGCCGGAGGCGAAAGCGGCGCACUGGAUCUCUUCUGACGCUGAGGCGCGAAAGCUAGGGGAGCAAACG
RNAcentral lists this ribosomal RNA (207 nucleotides) under uncultured bacterium. Its description in RNAcentral is "partial 16S ribosomal RNA". It matches the Rfam family "Bacterial small subunit ribosomal RNA", at positions 568 to 774 of the family's 1533-position model. The record is from RNAcentral.